Rattus norvegicus (Norway rat) is the source of this 665-nucleotide non-coding RNA. NCBI's taxonomy places the organism in Eukaryota, Metazoa, Chordata, Mammalia, Rodentia, Muridae. The record is from RefSeq and is a predicted model, not a curated record.
CGGGGCCGCCCUCCUUCCCACCAGGGCUCUUGUUCACCCAGGGAAUGUUCCAGGCUUUGGGAAGCUCAGCUUUGGCACCUUCCCUCCCUGUCCUUAAGGAAUCCCCAGCCCUGGCUCUCCCAAAACCAGAUCUGGGCCCCAAUAAUAAGACGUGGACGGCCAGCUGAGCACCGUGUUCGCCUCGCUCUGCUCCCCGAUGGCAAAAGCGAUCAGAUGUGACUGGUUGGUUCACACUCUAUGCCUUCUGUACUGUGAUGUGUUUUCCCCUCUCUCUGGAAGUCUAAAUAAGCCCUUCCUGCCUUCGAUUGCUCUGCUAUGUAUUUCGUUCUAGAAUUGAGAUGUAACUCGUACGCACACGCAGGCAGCUUACCCUGGCCUUGUGUCUCAAAGUCUAACAGUGUCUCCUUUAGCGGAAUGUUCUGCCUUAUAGAGAGCUGAGGGGCAGAGCUUCAAGCACAAACUGGGACCUUAUGGGGCCCAGCUCUCUUUCUUCCCAGCAUCAGGAGGCUUCCUGCUCCGGAGGACACAGGCAGGGGCUUCUGCAAGCCGGCGCUGAAGCAUGGGGACAUCAAAUGGUCUUAAUCACUUCAAUGUAAACGAGCUCAAGUCAUGUGGAUUGAAUUUCUCUGAAAAUACACAAGGGCUUAAAGAGCAGAGACAGAGAA